This 74-nucleotide transfer RNA is filed under the name Thermoplasmata archaeon. Its description in RNAcentral is "tRNA-Ala". The record is from RNAcentral. Lineage: Archaea; Methanobacteriati; Thermoplasmatota; Thermoplasmata.
GGGCCGGUAGAUCAGUGGAAGAUCGUCUCCUUGGCAUGGAGGAGGCCGUGGGUUCAAAUCACUGACUUGCUUCA